Non-coding RNA from Microcebus murinus (gray mouse lemur), 542 nucleotides. NCBI's taxonomy places the organism in Eukaryota, Metazoa, Chordata, Mammalia, Primates, Cheirogaleidae. The record is from RefSeq and is a predicted model, not a curated record.
GACCACUGCUUUUGGCUGGAGAAGUUUGUCGAGAAAGAUCCCAACAAGAUUCUUGUAACUUCUGGGAGCCAUGCUUUAAUUCCAUGCCUUUGUUAGGCAGACCAUCACUGGACAUGAGGCAGCGCCCAGCCUCCUGAGCACUGGGGUCAUGAUGAGGAAAUGGAGGCAGAGUUCACAAUGCUCCUAUGCAGCAGGGCCAAGGGCCCAGCAUGGCCACCCCCAUGGGCCAUGUUCUUAACAUCAGACUGCUCAGAGGCUCUUCUACACAGUCAGUACAGAUGCCACUUGUCCCACCAAUGGUGGGCCUUGAAAGCACGUGGCCACCAACAAUACUUCUGGGUAAAAAUUUGAACCAAUGACAAAAUGGCAAAAGACAAGAAACAAGGAAAAGAACUGGAAAAGAGACUGGCUACCAGUCAAACAAACAAAACAAAACAAUAAACCCUAAAAAACACAAUAAAUAACUACUGAUUGGUAGAACCAUUCUGUGACAGGUAACUUUUAUGUCAUUCUCUAAGAAAGCUUACACACACUGGGAUCUA